UCCAUAGGGGGCAAGCGUUGUCCGGAUUUACUGGGCGUAAAGAGCGUGUAGGCGGCCAAGCAGGUCCGUUGUGAAAACUGGAGGCUUAACCUCCAGACGUCGACGGAAACCGCGUGGCUAGAGUCCGGAAGAGGAGAGUGGAAUUCCUGGUGUAGCGGUGAAAUGCGCAGAUAUCAGGAAGAACACCAAUGGCGAAGGCAGCUCUCUGGGACGGUACUGACGCUGAGACGCGAAAGCGUGGGGAGCGAACAGG
This 253-nucleotide ribosomal RNA is filed under the name uncultured bacterium. RNAcentral describes it as "partial 16S ribosomal RNA". It matches the Rfam family "Bacterial small subunit ribosomal RNA", at positions 524 to 776 of the family's 1533-position model. The record is from RNAcentral.